GGCCCUGUAGUGUAAGACAUAUUGAAUUGCAAAUUCAAAGAAGCAGCUUCAACCCUGCCGGGGCUU
RNAcentral lists this transfer RNA (66 nucleotides) under Choeroniscus minor (lesser long-tailed bat). RNAcentral's name for it is "tRNA-Cys". It matches the Rfam family "tRNA". Rfam says of the family: Transfer RNA (tRNA) molecules are approximately 80 nucleotides in length. Their secondary structure includes four short double-helical elements and three loops (D, anti-codon, and T loops). Further hydrogen bonds mediate the characteristic L-shaped molecular structure. tRNAs have two regions of fundamental functional importance: the anti-codon, which is responsible for specific mRNA codon recognition, and the 3' end, to which the tRNAs corresponding amino acid is attached (by aminoacyl-tRNA synthetases). tRNAs cope with the degeneracy of the genetic code in two manners: having more than one tRNA (with a specific anti-codon) for a particular amino acid; and 'wobble' base-pairing, i.e. permitting non-standard base-pairing at the 3rd anti-codon position. The record is from RNAcentral. Lineage: Eukaryota; Metazoa; Chordata; Mammalia; Chiroptera; Phyllostomidae.